Molecule: long non-coding RNA, 543 nt
Organism: Vespula pensylvanica (western yellowjacket)
Lineage: Eukaryota; Metazoa; Arthropoda; Insecta; Hymenoptera; Vespidae
Exons: 3
Source: RefSeq, a predicted model, not a curated record
GAGAGAGAGAGAGAGAGAGAGAGAAAGAGAGAGAUAUCGAAUAAAGUUCCAUGCGAAAUCAUACAAAGUAAACUAAUAUAUCAAAGGAAAGUCAAAGUUAGCUUUAGCAAUUAAUCAUCAUCGACUUGUGGUGUGAAUAUCGUCAUCCUUAACGUCAAUAAUUUUACAAUUAGAAACGUAUUAGACACAACGAUUAAUCCAUUCUUCGAUCGUAUCAAUCGUAUCAAAGCUAAUUACGGAGAUAAUUAUCAUCAGAAUUAAAGAGUAUUCAGUAUAAUCGAUUUCAUCGUAGUAUUAUCACCAUCAUGGUCGUCCCUAUAUUUCGUGCUCUAUCGGACAACGACUGUGUUACUCGUGUAUGCUCGACAUUAAUAUUUAAGUAGCUUGGACGAGGCGGUAAACCCGUGACAAACCCUAAUUAGCGGCAACCCUUGGGAAAGGGUGAACUCAAGCGCCCAUUCUAAUUCAGUCGUCCCUCGUCCAACUUGUUUAUGUAUGCUUCUGUGUGUAUAAAUAUAUAUAUAUAUAUAUAUAUAUAUAUGU